Molecule: RNA transcript, 1525 nt
Organism: Gossypium arboreum
Lineage: Eukaryota; Viridiplantae; Streptophyta; Magnoliopsida; Malvales; Malvaceae
Exons: 10
Source: RefSeq, a predicted model, not a curated record
AUCCAUUUCACCCCAAUACAAACCCGAAACCCUUAUUUUCCCCCAAAUCAAAAUUUCCCCUAAACCCUAAAUUUUCCCCAAAUCAAACCCAUUUGCCGUCUCCCUUUCUCUUUUGGUUCGACAGCAAGCGGAAAAUUAAGGGAUUUCAUGUCGAAAUCAAACCCGACUGAAGGCUAGCUUUUGCGAGUCCAACAAAUCAAGCUAAAUAGGUGGGAGGAAGCAUUGGCGAGAAAGGGGAAGGAGCAAGUCGAUCGGCUAGAUAGCUCAACUUGGAGAAAUUUUAACAAGCCUCUCACCACCAUUCUGUCCCAGCCUCCUCUUUCUCUUGUCGCGUUCAAGUUUCCAACAGACUAGGAAAUUUAUUAAGCUUCAAAUGGAAGGAUUAAGUGUAGCAGAUGCUAAUUUGUUGAUGUAUUUACACCCAUCAAAGAGUAGGAACGUGUCCCAGUCGAUUCUCCGUGAGCUUGGCUCUUUGCUAUUCAAGUUUAAUGAAACAUUUGAUGGUGUUUUAUUGGCCUAUGAUGUCAAUAUUCUGGAUAAACAGGCGAAAAUUCUUUCUGGUGUUCAUCCUUAUUUUGGUCUUAGACUAAAAGCAAAUCUCCUACUUUUUUCACCAAAGCCAGAUAUGCUCUUAGAGGGGAAGGUAGUGAAGCUUUCUCAAGAAUCUAUUCAUGUUAUUGUUCUCGGUUUCUCGUCUGCCAUCAUAACAGCUGAAAACAUUCGUGGAGAAUUUAAAUAUAGAACCAAAGACAAAGAGGAACUAUUUGCCAGCAAAUCUCACAAGCGACAUGUCAUAAAGGUUGGAACCAUGAUCCGAUUUUUAGUCAAGAGUUUUGAUGAGGAAAUACUUCAUAUCAUUGGAUCUCUGAUAUCAGCUCACACAGGAAGCAUUCGUUGGUUGGAUAGACAUUUGGAGGAAGAUUCAGAAUUUGAUAGGUCUUGUAGUAAACUCAAAAGUUUUAAAUAGCAACCUUUCUGUAUUUCAACUUGCGAAAGUUUUAAUUUAAAUGUUGUAUAAGCCUAUAGGAGUUCUAUGAAGAGUAGAGAUAGAGAAUGGCUUGGGGAUAAAACUGUUGAUGAGGGAGCAACUCCCAUGAGCUACGAUAAUCAUAUUAAAAUGUCCAAAAAGCGUAGAAUCACAGAAUGAUGGUGAUGAUUGCUUCAAAUUACUAAUUGUAUUAGGAGAUUUCUUGUUGUCAGGUAGUGGGGAGUGGUGGGCUGAAGGUCCAUGUAGAUGAAGGUAUAUUGCUUCUGGUGAUUGCUUCGGUAAGGAAUUGUUCUUCUGUUGAAGCUUGCUAAAAUUUUGAAAUCUUCCCUUCAAUUUUUGUGGUCGUUGUUUUGUAUGUGACCAAGAUUGAAAAUUCCAGAUUCUCAAGUCGAUAAAAGAGAUUGCAAUUUUUUUCUCCUGUGAAGUAGGCGAUUUUUGUUUCCUAAUGAUGUAUGUUGAGUGACUUUUUUGUACGUUGUACAAGUACAGACUUGGUCUUAUCUAUAAUAUGUUAACAUCGAAUUUAGCAAAAGGAAA